Molecule: non-coding RNA, 87 nt
Filed under: Natronincola peptidivorans
Lineage: Bacteria; Bacillati; Bacillota; Clostridia; Peptostreptococcales; Natronincolaceae
Description: Natronincola peptidovorans c-di-GMP-I riboswitch aptamer
Rfam family: c-di-GMP-I riboswitch aptamer
About the family: GEMM was predicted in a large-scale screen for bacterial structured RNA regulatory elements. Genes associated with GEMM are involved in a diverse array of functions, including chemotaxis regulation, signal transduction, secretion and chitin.
Source: Rfam by way of RNAcentral
AAUAAUAUUUGGCAAAGCCAUUGAAAGAUGGUGACGCAAAGCUAAAGGGGCUAAGGUGGACUACCACUAUGCCAGCCAGUUGCGAGG